Macaca fascicularis (crab-eating macaque) is the source of this 148-nucleotide unclassified non-coding RNA. It matches the Rfam family "Metazoan signal recognition particle RNA". Rfam says of the family: The signal recognition particle (SRP) is a universally conserved ribonucleoprotein. The record is from Ensembl. Lineage: Eukaryota; Metazoa; Chordata; Mammalia; Primates; Cercopithecidae.
GCUGGGCAUGGUGGCACGUGCCUGUAGUCCUAGCUAUUUGGGAAGCUGAGGUAGGAGGAUUGCUUGAGCCCAGGAGUUUGUAGUUACAGUGAGCUAUGAUCACGCCACUGCAUGCCAGCCUGGGCAACAGAGUGAGACCCUGUCUCUU